GAAAUGCGAUAAGUAGUGUGAAUUGCAGAAUUCAGUGAAUCAUCGAAUCUUUGAACGCACAUUGCGCCCUUUGGUAUUCCUUAGGGCAUGCCUGUUCGAGCGUCAUCUAAACCUUCAAGCCCUGCUUGGUGUUGGGUGCCUGUCCCGCCUCCGCGCGCGGACUCACCUCAAAUCCAUUGGCGGCCCCCGCGUCGGCCACGAGCGCAGCAGAAACGCGAACUCGUGAGCCCGUCCGGGCGGCUCCCAGAAGCUACACCCACCCAGUUUGACCUCGGAUCAGGUAGGGAUACCGCUGAACUUAAGC
RNAcentral lists this unclassified non-coding RNA (304 nucleotides) under plant metagenome. RNAcentral describes it as "partial contains 5.8S ribosomal RNA, internal transcribed spacer 2, and large subunit ribosomal RNA". The stretch from base 1 to 105 matches the Rfam family "5.8S ribosomal RNA", at positions 50 to 154 of the family's 154-position model. The record is from RNAcentral.